UUGAAAUAGACAAGAUUAAACUUUUUUACCUCUGGCCCCUAAUAUCCCUAGUUAGGUAACGCAUGAGAAAAUCAUUAUAUUGUAAGGAUAUAUAAACGUAUUAUACCUAAAGUCUGUCCCAAGAUAUUUUUGCCACACAUUCUCUUAAAUUAUUUGAUAUUUGUAAAUAUCUCUUGAUUCAGACGAUGUUCAUUCGAUAGUAUGAAAAAAUCCCAAGAUUUCCCUUUUGAAACGCCCCCUCUAGCUUGUCAGGUUUUAAUACACGGCUAAAAAAAAGAACGUCUACGGGGAUUAUGCAUUGCAUCAGCCAUUAUAAAGCCCGGAUGAUAACUUUAAAAAAUUGUGCUAGAUAUUCCGAAAGACUUCCGAAUUGAGGAAAGAUGUAAACAUUCCCCAUUAUAAAUAUCCGUAGGAAAUCUGUUUUCGAUCCUGUGAAUGUUUACGAAGGAAAAAUGGUAAUUUGUAAAUGAAGUUUGACCCCUAAAAACGUUAUUACCUAAUUACGUAACACAUGUUAAAAUCAAUAGAUUUCUUGGAUACAUAACAGUUGAGAUCGACACAAAAUUUUAAAUUUUGUUUAAUUCAUGUGAUUUUGAAUGACAACAGUUGUGAAUGGAAUUGGAGAUCAUUGUGGAGAAUAAGCAGGUAUUGAAAAUAAUUAAUGCACAUGAUCAUGCACAUGACAAAUAAAGUGUCUUACACAUGUAAAUCUUAAUGUUAAAGCUGCUUGGUCCGAUUUUCAAUAAAAUAAUUGUACGCUUUUAAACGAUGGUUAUGCUAAGUAUUUGUGCAAUAAUAUACGUUGCAGUACAUGUAGUUUUCCCUGUCAAUUAAGCCAUAUUUCAAUGAAAAAAUUAUGUACAUGUUGAAACUCGUUGAAUCCGGAUGUUGUUUAUUACGGCAUGCUGCCCAAUCCGGCGACAUUAUUCAGCCCGUUGACAUUUUCCCAUCAUUUUUGUUUAAAAAAAAUUUGUGCAAUCCGGAUCCUAUCUAUUCUCUUAACUGGCGCAAUGAAAAAGCCUACUGCAUAUUAUUAGUGAGAGUUAUCUCCCGUAGUCCGUCCACUUAUCGAUCGAUCGGCCUUCUGCGAGAUAUUGACCAAUUUUUCUGACGUUGUUAUUGAUUUAAACAACUCUUAAUAUAGAUCCAAAGAAGCAACUUUUUUCAGUUAAUACCGUAAAGUCUUGUUAUGAAUUGCAAUUGAAUAAUUAGAUUAUAGUUCACCCAAUUUUUUUCAGGCCGUGAUUCAGGAUACUGCGGGAGUAAGACUGCCGAUAUCGUUUGUUAUCCCCGUUGCAUGGCUACACGUAAAUCGGAUGUUUGAAAGAUUAUCAAUAACGACGAUUUAAUUCAAGGAUUUCCAUCAACCACCCUCCGCCGGAUUAGACAAGUUUUGUUGUGUAUUCGCAAAAUAAUCGACAUAAAAGGGUUUUGCGUUAUUUCGCCGCGUGUUUAAACUGGCCCCUUACGUCGAAGCUAGUAUGAUUGUAUUACGACUUUGACAUCUGUU
This is a long non-coding RNA of Magallana angulata, 1510 nucleotides long. RefSeq lists it as uncharacterized. The record is from RefSeq and is a predicted model, not a curated record. NCBI's taxonomy places the organism in Eukaryota, Metazoa, Mollusca, Bivalvia, Ostreida, Ostreidae. The transcript has 3 exons.